GAUGAACGCUGGCGGCGUGCCUAAUACAUGCAAGUCGAGCGAACAGAUAAGGAGCUUGCUCCUUUGACGUUAGCGGCGGACGGGUGAGUAACACGUGGGUAACCUACCUAUAAGACUGGGAUAACUUCGGGAAACCGGAGCUAAUACCGGAUAAUAUUUCGAACCGCAUGGUUCGAUAGUGAAAGAUGGUUUUGCUAUCACUUAUAGAUGGACCCGCGCCGUAUUAGCUAGUUGGUAAGGUAACGGCUUACCAAGGCGACGAUACGUAGCCGACCUGAGAGGGUGAUCGGCCACACUGGAACUGAGACACGGUCCAGACUCCUACGGGAGGCAGCAGUAGGGAAUCUUCCGCAAUGGGCGAAAGCCUGACAGAGCAACGCCGCGUGAGUGAUGAAGGUCUUCGGAUCGUAAAACUCUGUUAUUAGGGAAGAACAUACGUGUAAGUAACUGUGCACGUCUUGACGGUACCUAAUCAGAAAGCCACGGCUAACUACGUG
This 497-nucleotide ribosomal RNA is filed under the name uncultured bacterium. RNAcentral's name for it is "partial 16S ribosomal RNA". It matches the Rfam family "Bacterial small subunit ribosomal RNA", at positions 28 to 507 of the family's 1533-position model. The record is from RNAcentral.